This 2001-nucleotide ribosomal RNA is filed under the name Triticum aestivum (bread wheat). RNAcentral's name for it is "partial small subunit ribosomal RNA". The record is from RNAcentral. Lineage: Eukaryota; Viridiplantae; Streptophyta; Magnoliopsida; Poales; Poaceae.
CAUUGAGGCCCAUUUAGACAGCCAUAGGACUCUACACAAACCCUAAAAUUACGCGUGCUCUACUCAUUCCCUCCCCCCACACCACACUACGCCGCCGCCGCCAACCACCUCUCCACAUCCUCCACGCCGGACAGCCUAGGUCGGACACAAGAUGGACAAGCUGUCGGCGCAGAUGCUGGGGAGCAUCUUCCUCUGCCUCCCCGACCCAGCCGACCUCGGCCACACCUCGGUCGCCUGCAAGUCCUUCUGCGACCUCAUCGCUGACAGCUACUUCCGCCGGCAACACCACAAACGCCACACCUCGCCCCUCCUGGGCUUUGUCGGCAAAUUCGGCGACUUCCACCGCGCCAUCUCGCCGCACCCCUCCGCGCCGGCAGCCAAGGCCGUCGACAACGCCUGCGACUUCUCCUUCUCCUUCCCCCCGAGGACGGAGAGCAUCAUCUAUGGCAUCGUGGACAUCCGCGAGGGUCGCGUCCUCCUCGCCACAGUGAAUGAGGUGUUUGGUGAGGAGUACGUGGUGUGCUACCCCUUGCACCGCACGUAUGUGGUUCUCCCCAAACUCACCGACGCUGUGACAUCCAAAAGAAACAUUUUCUUAGCCCCACCGAUGCCGGAAACUGUUGUUGACAAGGAUGGGUAGACAGCCUUCAGAGUGAUUAGGAUGGCGCCGAGAGGAGACCAUUUUGAUACCCAUGUCUUCUCUUCCUGGACUUGUCAGUGGGAAGCCCGUCCAUCUGUAAUCUGGAGGGGUCCUGUUGGCUCCCAUUUGUUUACUCUGCCAGGGAUGGUUAACCACUGCCGUGCACAAUAUGCUCACGGCCGCUUCUACUUCAUAUCUAAUAUCAAUAGAUGGGAAACACUGGUUCUUGACCCCAUGACAAUGGAUUUUUCUACUGUUGAUGGCCCUCCCGUGGACAGAGUUUGUGAUGAAGACAUAUGUAUCGUGGAGGCAGAUGAAGGCAGUCUCGGGAUGUUUCUAACGUACCAAGACUAUGACACAAGCAAUAUCAUUUAUUGGCAAAGUGAAGGUGAUAUUUCCGGACCAUGGCGGGAAGAGAAAAGAAUUGAUGUAGGUGACAUGUGCAGAGUUUUUUCUUCCGAAGGGAGACAUGUAUUUGGAUAUGAUACUAUUGCAUGUUUCUCGUUGGUUGCCAAAGCAUUGGAGCUCGAGAGGCUAUGUUACAUGAUUCUGGAUGAGGCGUACCCAUAUAGCAAUCUUCCACUACCGUACGCAUUACCCACCGUGGCAUCAGGCCCCAAAGAGACGCAGCAGACCAGAACGAUUGUUGAGGAGAUGGAGGACGCUCAGGAGAUGGAGGACGACGAGUACCCAUUCCAGGACCUUGCAGUGGAUUUUCAGUUACUAGAAGAGGAGAACGACAACGACGACGACUUCUUGUCAGAGCCUACAGUGACUUUUGAGUUAACAGUCGAGGAGACAAAGAAGCAGGUGGCCGCCUCCAUUGGACACUCGAAUGUCUGGAACUCGCACCCAAAGAACUACGGCUCCGGAUCCAUGGUUUGGUUAUAAUCCCCUCUCUCUAGCACCUACAUACCGUGCCCUGUCUUAGAUUGGUAGUAAGAGGCGGUUUCUCUAUGUACAUGUAGAUCCGCGGUGCAAGCUGGUCGCUUAUCUUGUGUUUGAGAUUCAAGAUUUACGUGCCUUGUAUUAUUUGAUGAGUUUGUGACGCGUUGCGGCUUGGGUUUUUGUUGUUGCAGCCGUGUCUGUGGCAACUCACAUGGCCUGAUCCGCAAGUACGGGCUGAUGUGCUGCAGGCAGUGUUUCCGCAGCAAUGCAAGGACAUUGGCUUCAUCAAGUACCGUUAAGAUUGGAAACCUCAAAAGGAAGCAUGGAGUAGGAUGUCAUCGUCAAAGUGUGUUGAUUCAUAAGGACUAUCUGUAUUAUAUAUUAUGUAAUGAACUAAAUGUUUGAAUCAGAGUAACAUGUGAAUCAGAUAAUUCUGUUGCUAUUGUGUCUCGUUAUGUUUUUUUGUUUUGUUC